RNAcentral lists this ribosomal RNA (253 nucleotides) under uncultured bacterium. Its description in RNAcentral is "partial 16S ribosomal RNA". It matches the Rfam family "Bacterial small subunit ribosomal RNA", at positions 524 to 776 of the family's 1533-position model. The record is from RNAcentral.
UACGAAGGGGGCUAGCGUUGUUCGGAAUUACUGGGCGUAAAGCGCACGUAGGCGGAUAUUUAAGUCAGGGGUGAAAUCCCGGGGCUCAACCCCGGAACUGCCUUUGAUACUGGGUAUCUUGAGUUCGGAAGAGGUGAGUGGAAUUGCGAGUGUAGAGGUGAAAUUCGUAGAUAUUAGGAAGAACACCAGUGGCGAAGGCGGCUCACUGGCCCGGUACUGACGCUGAGGCGCGAAAGCGUGGGGAGCAAACAGG